Rosa rugosa (rugosa rose) is the source of this 2092-nucleotide RNA transcript. RefSeq lists it as uncharacterized. The transcript is spliced from 2 exons. The record is from RefSeq and is a predicted model, not a curated record. Lineage: Eukaryota; Viridiplantae; Streptophyta; Magnoliopsida; Rosales; Rosaceae.
CAUUAUUCAAUAAGUUGAGAGAGCCAAUUAGCUAGCGAGUACAUCGGCCUUUCGUUGAAAUAUCGAGUAAGAUUGAGAUGGGCGUCUCAUGCUCUGUGAUUCGUAUUCUGAUAAUCAUGCUCAUGAUUUUCAGUUCUUCAUUCUUGUCCAUGCAAUCAGUUCACGCAGUUGCUUGGAGAGCCAUCUUGAAAUGAGAAGAGUGCAGCUGGAAAACGAUGGCAGGAGCUGAAAUGAGGAACUCAACAAAAGCCUUCUGUGAAGCACUCAAUAUGUGAAAAGCUAGAUGGUAUUACUGCUGUAUUUUCAGCGUGUAUUGAGUGUACACAGGGACUUCUAUUUAUACAGAGAAGUAGAUCACUCUAAGCUCAGUCCCAUCAAGGAGUUAGAGUUUCAAUCCAACUCUACUGCAUAUGCAUAUCUUCUGUUAUCUAGAUACAUAAGAUAACAACAUUAACCUCUUGUAUUUAUCUAAUCAGAAUGCUUAGAUAAAUAUUACCAAGUUUUAAAUUAAAUUGUUUAUCUCUUGUUGAAUGUCCUACUUUAAUACAACAGUUGUUAUGCUUAACGAAACUAUCUUCAGUCCACUCUAACAGUCUCCGCCACAGCCACAGCCUCCGCCGAAAGCCUUGUAUUAAACCCGUCACUUCCAGAACCUUCCUCCUCUGCCUUCAGCCCAACGUGAGAGCUCCACCUGCAGUAAUCGCCGUCGGGGCUCGCCCUCAAGGUCCGCCGCACCCCGACGUACAUCUCCCCACCUCUGGAGCUCCUCAUGAACACCACAGAGUCGCCAGCGACGAGCAGCUUGUGGUUGACGAACUUGCUCCAGCUGGUGGUGAGCAAGUGCCUCCGGAGAGUUUUGCGGUAGAUGUGGCGGAAGUCCCAAACGCUGCCGUGCAGGUCGGUGACGACGAGAAAAUUACUAGGCUCCACCUGACGUUUGUGUGGUUGUGAUUCUCUACAAAGAUGGUAUGCCUCUUAGAUCUGGCUUGCAUUGAUUUUAUGUUUUUAGAUAUGAAAUGUAUUGGAAUUACUUUGUGAUUUUGAUGCUUUAGACCAGAUGAGUGUUCAUUUUAUGUUGAUUAAUAUCUUAGAUCCACAAUUUCAUGCUUGUCGUACUUGGAAAAUGAAGAACAUGAUCUUACUAGGGUCUGUUUUUUUUGAUUUCAUAGAUUCUGGGUUUUCUGGGUUUUCCUGGCCCAGAAUAAGAAAGCUUCAAGCUUUUAACUUUUCUGUGAUUUCUUUGUCAACUUCUCUACUUGAGAAGAUGACAAUUGAGCCAGUACUUGAUGACCAAAGAGAUCAAUUUCCUAUUGGAAUGCGUGUUCUUAUCGUCGAUGAUGAUGUCACUUGCCUGCGAGUCUUGGAGACUAUGCUUCAUAAGUGCCAAUAUCAUGGUGUGUUUAUGUUCCUUCUGUUCUCACUUUUGGAAUUUUGUUAUCAAGCCUUUUGCUUUUGUUUGGUAUUGAAACUCUGUUCUUGUUUCUUUUGGCAUGCCAUAAAAUAAUCUAUUUGUGAUUUGAUUGUACUUUGACUUUUCUGCCCAUUCUAAAUUUGAUAUCUGCUUCUUAGAUAUCUGUUCUUGACAAGAUUCAAUACUUCAUAAUAUUUUCUCUUAGAUAUCAUAGUUAGAUAGUAGAGAUCAAACGGAUUCUCAACCAUGUUCAAAUUCAGUUGUCUAUUUUAUUGUCUAUUAGGUACUAUCAUAUCAUUGGAUCUCUUUAUUGGAUGACUUGUUGAUUGCGCCAUCUGCUUUUGCAUCUGCACUUUUGGUUUUAACACUCUAGAAGAUAGGUGUGUUUUGUAUAGUUUUUGUAUUGGAUUUUGCAGUUACGGCUACCAGUCAUGCAUUUACUGUAAUUGCUGAGUGCUUUCCGAUAUGAAGGAGAUGAACAUUACAGACUUACAGUGGCAAAAAGAGAGGCUAAGACACUUCAUGAGAAAAUCAAGGCAAACACUACAAUGAUGAGGAGCUCAUCAGGAUCAUCACCACCAGAAGUUAAUAUUUUAUGUUUUGUUGGGUCUUUCAAUUGUUAAUGGUUUUUAUUCUUUUUAUUUUUAUUUAUUUAUCAAAAAGGCUCCAAUGACAUUCAUU